Molecule: ribosomal RNA, 484 nt
Filed under: uncultured bacterium
Lineage: Bacteria
Description: partial 16S ribosomal RNA
Rfam family: Bacterial small subunit ribosomal RNA
Source: RNAcentral
AUUGAACGCUGGCGGCAUGCUUUACACAUGCAAGUCGAACGGCAGCGCGGGCUUCGGCCUGGCGGCGAGUGGCGAACGGGUGAGUAAUGCAUCGGAACGUGACCAGUAGUGGGGGAUAGCCCGGCGAAAGCCGGAUUAAUACCGCAUACGACCUGAGGGUGAAAGCGGGGGACCGAAAGGCCUCGCGCUAUUGGAGCGGCCGAUGUCGGAUUAGCUAGUUGGUGGGGUAAAGGCUUACCAAGGCGACGAUCCGUAGCUGGUCUGAGAGGACGACCAGCCACACUGGGACUGAGACACGGCCCAGACUCCUACGGGAGGCAGCAGUGGGGAAUUUUGGACAAUGGGGGCAACCCUGAUCCAGCCAUGCCGCGUGCGGGAAGAAGGCCUUCGGGUUGUAAACCGCUUUUGUUCGGGAAGAAAUCCUCUGGGCUAAUACCCCGGGGGGAUGACGGUACCGGAAGAAUAAGCACCGGCUAACUACGUG